CAAACGGUAGCAAGCUACCGUUUGUUUCUAGCGGCGGACGGGUGAGUAACGCGUGAGCAACCUGCCUUUAUCAGGGGGAUAACGCAUCGAAAGAUGUGCUAAUACCGCGUAAGACCACAGCUUCACAUGGAGCGGGGGUCAAAGGAGCAAUCCGGAUAAAGAUGGGCUCGCGUCCGAUUAGCUAGUUGGUGAGAUAACAGCCCACCAAGGCGACGAUCGGUAGCCGACCUGAGAGGGUGAUCGGCCACAUUGGAACUGAGAGACGGUCCAGACUCCUACGGGAGGCAGCAGUGGGGAAUAUUGGGCAAUGGGCGAAAGCCUGACCCAGCAACGCCGCGUGAGGGAAGAAGGGUUUCGGCUCGUAAACCUCUGUCCUAUGGGACGAAGGAAGUGACGGUACCAUAGGAGGAAGCCCCGGCUAACUACGUGCCAGCAGCCGCGGUAAUACGUAGGGGGUGAGCGUUGUCCGGAAUGAUUGGGCGUAAAGGGCGCGUAGGCGGCCUGCUAAGUCUGGAGUGAAAGUCCUGCUUUCAAGGUGGGAAUUGCUUUGGAUACUGGUGGGCUGGAGUGCAGGAGAGGAAAGCGGAAUUACCGGUGUAGCGGUGAAAUGCGUAGAGAUCGGUAGGAACACCAGUGGCGAAGGCGGCUUUCUGGACUGAAACUGACGCUGAGGCGCGAAAGCGUGGGGAGCAAACAGGAUUAGAUACCCUGGUAGUCCACGCGGUAAACGAUGAAUGCUAGGUGUAGGAGGUAUCGACCCCUUCUGUGCCGCAGUAAACACAAUAAGCAUUCCGCCUGGGGAGUACGGCCGCAAGGUUGAAACUCAAAGGAAUUGACGGGGGCCCGCACAAGCAGCGGAGCAUGUGGUUUAAUUCGAAGCAACGCGAAGAACCUUACCAGGUCUUGACAUCCGUGUAAAGCCGCAGAGAUGCGGUGUGAGCUUGCUCAAUACGAGACAGGUGGUGCAUGGUUGUCGUCAGCUCGUGUCGUGAGAUGUAGGGUUAAGUCCCGCAACGAGCGCAACCCCUAUCUUCAGUAGCCAGCAGGUUAAGCUGGGCACUCUGGAGAGACUGCCAGGGAUAACCUGGAGGAAGGUGGGGAUGACGUCAAAUCAUCAUGCCCCUUAUGACCAGGGCUACACACGUGCUACAAUGGCGUAAACAAAGAGAAGCGAACUCGCGAGGGUAAGCAAAUCUCAAAAAUAACGUCUCAGUUCGGAUUGUAGUCUGCAACUCGACUACAUGAAGCUGGAAUCGCUAGUAAUCGCAGAUCAGAAUGCUGCGGUGAAUACGUUCCCGGGUCUUGUACACACCGCCCGUCACACCAUGGGAGUCAGUAACGCCCGAAGUCAGUGACCCAACCGUAAGGAGGGAGCUGCCGAAGGUGGGACCGAUAACUGGGGUGAAGUCGUAACAAGGUA
Molecule: ribosomal RNA, 1420 nt
Filed under: metagenome
Description: bacterial SSU rRNA
Rfam family: Bacterial small subunit ribosomal RNA
Source: RNAcentral